This 820-nucleotide ribosomal RNA is filed under the name uncultured archaeon. RNAcentral describes it as "bacterial SSU rRNA". It matches the Rfam family "Archaeal small subunit ribosomal RNA", at positions 21 to 856 of the family's 1478-position model. The record is from RNAcentral.
GAUUGCUGCUAUUAGAAUUCGAUUAAGCCAUGCAAGUCAGGUAGUAAUACCGGCGACAGGCUCAGUAACGCGUCGAUAAUCUGCCCUUAGGUCGAGGAUAACCACGGGAAACUGUGGGUAAUACUCGAUAGGAAAGUUGCUCUGGAACGUGCACUUUCUGAAACUCGAGCCUAAGGAUGAGUUGGCGGCCGAUUAGGCAGUUGGCGGUGUAACGGACCACCAAACCUAUGAUCGGUACGGGCCUUGAAAGAGGUAGCCCGGAGAAGGAAACUGAAACACUGUUCCUAGCCCUACGGGGUGCAGCAGGCGCGAAACUUUUACAAUGCACGAAAGUGUGAUAAGGGGAUUCUAAGUGCAUGCACUUUGUGUAUGCUUUUGCUAAGAGUAAACAUCUUGGCGAAUAAGUGGUGGGCAAGACUGGUGCCAGCCGCCGCGGUAACACCAGCGCCACGAGUGGCAAUCGCGUAUUUGGCCUAAAGCGUCCGUAGCUGGUUUAGCAAAUCUUUUGUGAAAUCGUUAUUGUCAACAUAACGGCGUGCAGAAGACACUACUAAGCUUGAGACCGGGAGGAGUUAGAAGUAUUCUGGGGGGAGCGGUAAAAUGCAAUAAUCCUCAGAGGACUGCCGGUGGCGAAGGCGUCUAACUAGAACGGAUCUGACAGUGAGGGACGAAAGCCAGGGGAGCGAACCGGAUUAGAUACCCGAGUAGUCCUGGCCGUAAACGCUGCGAGCAAGGUGUUGCCUUUUCUAUAGGAAGGGGCAGUGUCGAAACGAAGGUGAUAAGCUCGCCGCCUGGGAAGUACGGUCGCAAGACUGAAACU